RNAcentral lists this ribosomal RNA (863 nucleotides) under uncultured bacterium. Its description in RNAcentral is "bacterial SSU rRNA". It matches the Rfam family "Bacterial small subunit ribosomal RNA", at positions 8 to 916 of the family's 1533-position model. The record is from RNAcentral.
AGAGUUUGAUCCUGGCUCAGAGCGAACGCUGGCGGCAGGCCUAACACAUGCAAGUCGGGCGCCGUAGCAAUACGGAGCGGCAGACGGGAGAGUAACACGUGGGAACGUACCCUUCAGUUCGGAACAACCCAGGGAAACUUGGGCUAAUACCGGAUACGUCCGUAAGGAGAAAGAUUUAUCGCUGAAGGAUCGGCCCGCGUCUGAUUAGCUAGUUGGUGGGGUAACGGCUCACCAAGGCGACGAUCAGUAGCUGGUCUGAGAGGAUGAUCAGCCUCACUGGGACUGAGACACGGCCCAGACUCCUACGGGAGGCAGCAGUGGGGAAUAUUGGACAAUGGGCGCAAGCCUGAUCCAGCCAUGCCGCGUGGAUGAUGAAGGCCCUAGGGUUGUAAAGUCCUUUCGGCGGGGAAGAUAAUGACGGUACCCGCAGAAGAAGUCUCGGCUAACUACGUGCCAGCAGCCGCGGUAAUACGUAGGAGACGAGCGUUGUCCGGAGUUACUGGGCGUAAAGGGGGCGCAGGCGGCACGUCGCGUGGGGGGUGAAAUCUCCUGGCUCAACUGGGAGGGGGCCUUCCAAACGGGCGUGCUUGAGGCGUGGAGAGGGACGUGGAAUUCCGGGUGGAGCGGUGAAAUGCGUAGAGAUCCGGAGGAACACCGACGGCGAAGGCAGCGUCCUGGCCACGACCUGACGCUCAGGCCCGAAAGCUGGGGGAGCAAACAGGAUUAGAUACCCUGGUAGUCCUAGCCGUAAACGAUGACCACUAGAUGUGCGGGGUAUCGACCCCCUGCGUGUCGGAGCAAACGUUUUAAGUGGUCCGCCUGGGGAGUACGGUCGCAAGGCUAAAACUCAAAGGAAUUGACGG